CACAAACAGAGAGAGCACAGGAGUUAGUCAAAGCACGUGCGCACACACACACGCGCACACACUCACACACACACACACACACACACACACACUCUGUUCCGCUUUACCUUUACAAAAUUCUUUAAACUAAAUUCUUUGUUCCCAGAAUCUGGUGAAUGAGGAACCAAAACACACCAAAGCUGAAAGAGAAACUGACCAAACCCUCUGCCCAGAGACACACACAGCUGACAACUGGAGUGUGUGCAGGAGAUCAGUAAGCUCAGCAGGUUGUAGAUGAUGAAGGUGAAGAUGACGGCUGUGAUCGUACCUCGAGGAAUUGAGACACACAGAGUAAAGUCAGUAAUAAUAUACUGACCGGACAUGUUGGAUCCCGCCAUGAUUCCUGUGCAUCCGUUAAACAUCACUGCAA
Non-coding RNA from Danio rerio (zebrafish), 409 nucleotides. NCBI's taxonomy places the organism in Eukaryota, Metazoa, Chordata, Actinopteri, Cypriniformes, Danionidae. The record is from RefSeq and is a predicted model, not a curated record.